ACAAUUUGAAAUACACAGAAAUAACAAAUAUAUCAGAGUUGUUUUAUAUAACAAAUUGAAGUGCACUAUAAAAUAAUUUUAAAAAUCUAAGUCUGCUAGAUAUACUGACAAUGCCCCAUCAGAGUAGUUUACUUUUUUUCUAAAAUAAAUGACCUGAGAAAUUAAGACACAUAUACAACAUUGCUCUUUCAAACAUGACUAAUGUUUUUAUUUUAUUGGCAAUAAGAUUACCUGUAAUUGUUCUUAUAAUCAUCACAAUAUAAAAUUUUCGGAAUUUUAGAGGUGAUACUUGAGAAAACCUUAGGAUCAUCUUAUUGCAUCUCACUGUUUGCAGGAAUUUUCUUUAUGGCAAUGGUUUUUAGGCAUCUUUUUUGAAUACCAAAUUAUCUUUUCUUAAAAUAAAAUAUUACAAAUAUAUUAGAGCUGAAUUUUCUGUGCUUUAAGAGAAUGAUGAAAGACAGAUUGAUUCUCUACCUUCCACCUCCCGACCCCACAACUUGAGGUAACUUUUGGCAGAGAAGCUGAAAAUCAAAGAAAGGUAAUUUUUUACAAAGUUGAUUGACAAGGCCAGACUUCUAUUAACUGAAACAAUCUCCAAAUACCUAAUUUUAAAUUGCUCUGGGUGGAAUUCAGUUUCUUGUGCUUUUAUAAAGGAGGCCCCCAUUUUCUUGCUUGCUUUUGUCUGGGGAUUGUUCCCAGUUCUUAAAUGUAGUCCUCCGUAGUUCACAACAUAACAAUUUGCUUUCUUCUUGCAAUCCAGCAGAAAUGUGUCUAAUGCUUCACCUUCUUUAAAAGACUCACUUGUCUAAUUAGAUCAGGCUCACCCACGAUGAUCUCCCUUUGAUUAACUCCAACAGGUUAGAGUCUAAAUUGGAAGUAGUAUCUCCUCAUAAUUACAGGUUCCACCACCACUGGAGCAGGAAUUGUAUGUGGGUAUGCAUCACUGGGGAUAAUUCUAAUAUUCUACCUACCACAUUUUCCUUAAAAAAUAAAAUGUUCCUUGUAGUCUAAUGUCUUGGCUUUGAGACAAGUGUUACGUGUGGUUUUUGGGAGAUGACAGAAUUUUGGCUUAUUUUAGUGUUUGUGGUAGGAGUUUUUUUCCUUGAUGGUAAAAAUUGGUAUCAAUAACUUAUGUUUGUUACCUAGGACCAGAUUCUUAACCUGCACAAUAUAAUCCAUACUUUUCAAAUGUUAUUUUUAUUGCUAGGCAGCAAGAUGAAAUGACAAGUCUUUUUUUUCUUCCCAGAAUGAUUAUAAACACAAAUAAUAUGCAUCUGGGAUCAAAGAUGUAUUGCUAUCAUUAUAGAGCCCUAAUGCUAGCUUUCUCCGUAAUGAAAUAGUUUAAUAAAACAUGUACUAUUAUGAAGAGUAGAAUGAGACCCUUCCCUUUCCCAAAAGAACAUAUGUGGUUUUAUUUAGAAAGUGGUUUACAGGAGAGUUUUGAAAAUUCUCUAUGUAAUUGGUAUAGGAGUAUAAUAAAAAAAAUAGAAAGUACUGUAAACUUAUUGACCUGAGAAUGAGAGUCGAAAUUAUCAUAUAGUUAUUACUUUUAUUCUGAGAUUACUUUUCCCUUUUACCCCUCCUCUCAUGAAUUUUCUCCUGCCCUUCUUUCAGUUUUCUUACUUUUUAAAAUAAAAGAUGGAAUAUCAAUAUGUUGCCCAAGCUAGCUUCAAACUUCUGGGCUCAA
Sapajus apella (tufted capuchin) is the source of this 1687-nucleotide long non-coding RNA. RefSeq lists it as uncharacterized. Lineage: Eukaryota; Metazoa; Chordata; Mammalia; Primates; Cebidae. The record is from RefSeq and is a predicted model, not a curated record. The transcript has 4 exons.